This 380-nucleotide long non-coding RNA is filed under the name Bos mutus (wild yak). RNAcentral's name for it is "lncRNA (ENSBMUG00000006408.1)". Lineage: Eukaryota; Metazoa; Chordata; Mammalia; Artiodactyla; Bovidae. The record is from RNAcentral.
AACAAAAAUAGAGAGGCUGGCAUUACUGUGAGCCAAGCUUCUUCCCAGCACGUGCUUGCAGGGAGGCUCUGGUUCAGGGUUGGCAGCCCUGUGCUGAAAGCUGCUCUGUAGCUGAGGCGGCAUAUGGACUGCUGACAGAGCAGCUGCUGGGGAAGAAGACGCUGAAAGGAAGCCUCUAGGGAUAAACAGAGAAACCCAUGGCACCACGUGGCACCCAAGGCAGAAUUCUCAUCCCCUUCACGGUGGAUCAGUUGCCUCAUUUGGGGAUCUGGACCUUCCAGACAUGUAUACAGAAACCAAGAGCCCAUUCAUCACAUUGAAAGCUGAUAGCUGACAGAGAUUCAAUCCCAUCUUGAAGCUGGAAACUUGGAGAGAAGCGA